GGCCUCGUAGCUCAGUUGGCUAGAGUGUUGGCUGUACUAAAGCCUUCCCCUUAAUGGCGUAGGUUCGAAUCCCACCCGGGCCG
This 83-nucleotide transfer RNA is filed under the name Schistocephalus solidus. It matches the Rfam family "tRNA". Rfam says of the family: Transfer RNA (tRNA) molecules are approximately 80 nucleotides in length. The record is from Rfam by way of RNAcentral. Lineage: Eukaryota; Metazoa; Platyhelminthes; Cestoda; Diphyllobothriidea; Diphyllobothriidae.